RNAcentral lists this ribosomal RNA (274 nucleotides) under uncultured bacterium. RNAcentral describes it as "partial 16S ribosomal RNA". It matches the Rfam family "Bacterial small subunit ribosomal RNA", at positions 523 to 796 of the family's 1533-position model. The record is from RNAcentral.
AUACGAAGGUGGCGAGCGUUGUUCGGAUUUACUGGGCGUAAAGAGCACGUAGGCGGUUUGGUAAGCCCCUUGGGAAAGCUCCGGGCUUAACCCGGAAAGGUCGAGGGGGACUGCUAAGCUAGAGGGCGCGAGAGGAGCGCGGAAUUCCCGGUGUAGGGGUGAAAUGCGUAGAUAUCGGGAAGAAGGCCGGUGGCGAAGGCGGCGCUCUGGAACGCAUCUGACGCUGAGGUGCGAAAGCGUGGGGAGCAAACAGAAUUAGAUACCCCAGUAGUCC